This is a long non-coding RNA of Homo sapiens (human), 484 nucleotides long. Ensembl annotates it as CYP1B1 antisense RNA 1. Its record names the gene CYP1B1-AS1. The record is from Ensembl. NCBI's taxonomy places the organism in Eukaryota, Metazoa, Chordata, Mammalia, Primates, Hominidae.
AGAACUACAGGCUACACAGAGGAGAAGGGAGCCAGGCCACCUUUCCCAUGCAUCCCACUCCUUGAACAGAAAGAGCAACUAAAAAGGGAGGCAGGAGUUCUAAGCACCAUCUUUUUUUCACCAGUACAGUUUCCAAGAUCUUGCUGCUAUGAAAAUAAAGAUCUCCUAAUAUUUAUAGUACUUGAGGCAGCACUGAGAAGUGAAGGAAUAUUUGGGAGGAUCAGAAGCUUGGUCCUGAUUUUGCCAUCAACAGGAACUUGAUGACUUCAAGGGAGUCCCCAAACCCUGGGUUUCUGUUUUCUCAACUCUAACAUGAGGGGCUAGAUGCAUCUGGUUUAGUUAGUCUCCAUGAUGGUUUAGUUCGUCUCCAUGAUCCUGUGAAUUUCAGAUGUUGAAAAUCUUCGGAAAAGCCCUGAAAGAUGAACAGUGGUCUCAAAUAGUCAAGACCCCCUGCUGGGAGGAGCUUCUAUCCUGCUCUGUGGAA